Molecule: long non-coding RNA, 252 nt
Filed under: Ananas comosus (pineapple)
Lineage: Eukaryota; Viridiplantae; Streptophyta; Magnoliopsida; Poales; Bromeliaceae
Description: long non-coding RNA (ACOM_LNC037500)
Source: RNAcentral
UAUAUUUUAUUUCCAGCAAAAUAAAUAAAUAAAUAAAUAAAUAGAUAAAGUUAAAAUUAAAUUAAAAAAACCACCACCUCUCUUCUUUUAUCUUCUUUUACGCUCUUCAUUAUCUCCCCACCAAAUCUCCUCUCUCUCACGUGCUCUCUCUCUCUCUUUUCCUUUUCCUUUAACCACUUUUCUCUCCCCUCCUCUCCUCUCCUCUCCUCUCCUUUUCCUUCUUUUAACUGACACCCCUUCAUCCCAAUAAUA